This 217-nucleotide small nucleolar RNA is filed under the name Nicotiana sylvestris (wood tobacco). RNAcentral describes it as "Plant small nucleolar RNA U3". It matches the Rfam family "Plant small nucleolar RNA U3". Rfam says of the family: Small nucleolar RNAs (snoRNAs) are involved in the processing and modification of rRNA in the nucleolus. There are two main classes of snoRNAs: the box C/D class, and the box H/ACA class. U3 snoRNA is a member of the box C/D class. The record is from Rfam by way of RNAcentral. Lineage: Eukaryota; Viridiplantae; Streptophyta; Magnoliopsida; Solanales; Solanaceae.
ACGACCUUACUUGAACAGGAUUAGGAUCUGUUCUAUAAGCUUGUAGCACUAUAUCCUUGAGUUCUAAGGAAACAGGAAAUCAAGUCUGGUUGAUGAGGCAUGGCCAAUAUACCAGAGCAUGAUUAACAACUACCUUAGCCCUCGGGGUCAUGGCGUCAUAGAUGAUUGUUCUCGGCUCCCAACUAUGGGUGUGCUGGGAUGGUCUCAGAGGCAGACC